Molecule: long non-coding RNA, 868 nt
Organism: Hypanus sabinus (Atlantic stingray)
Lineage: Eukaryota; Metazoa; Chordata; Chondrichthyes; Myliobatiformes; Dasyatidae
Exons: 2
Source: RefSeq, a predicted model, not a curated record
UUAUAUUCUAAUGAUAGAAAGAUUUAAAUGAAGUAAGUUGUGCAAAAAGAGAACAAAAGAUAAUGAGAAAGUGUUCAUGGAAUCCAUUGUCCAUUUGGAAAUCUGAAUGGUUCAGCAUCACGACUGAUGGCGACGAAGAACGAGAAGAGAUCGGUGGGACGUUACUGCCGGAGAGAGGGAAUUUAAUGAGGGAACUACUUCUUGCUGAGUAAUCCAGUGACGCGACAAUGGGAGGCUAUAAAAGACGACCGCCAGGCUUUCUUGCGCAGACGGCAGCGGAAUGGAGAGCGGUAGGGGUCGUGUUGAAUGUUGUGCGGAGGGAAUCGCAAGGUGGGCGGGCAGGGGGGCAGGGAGAGAGGGUGGAAAGUCAGUCAAAGUGCAUCAGAGCGCUCCCGCAGCCACAUCAGUGAGGAGAUUUGGUGAAUCUUGACAAUGGUGGAAGCGGAGUGGGGGGGAGGGGAGGGAAGCGCUGGGCCUCCUCAUAAACAACCGAGGCAUCAGAUGGAAAUGAUAGGCAGGCUGCGGUCGCCAGGGCUGGUCUGCCUUCGUAAGGUGGGGGAUUAAGGGUCGGAUUCAGUGCGCCGUCGCCGUUUAAACUGAGCAGGCGCGGCCGCCAUGUUGUUUACUGGGGAGUUUUGGUCGCCAUUUUGCGGGUGGGGUGGCGCUGAUGGAGGUGGUGGAGAGCUCUCGGCUGUUAAAUGAGCCGGUUGCUGGCUUUGGCCUGAAGUAGGGUGGAGGGGAUUCUGCGUAUAUGUAGAGUUGGCGCAGGUGUUGAAGCCAGUAACACUGGGGCUGGGCUAAAGGGUGGGUGACGCAGUUUAUCCCGUUAGCGGGACGGUGGAGUUGGAGGGGUGGGUGAUCCUCGUUA